AUACGUAGGUGGCAAGCGUUGUCCGGAUUUACUGGGCAUAAAGAGUAUGUAGGCGGAUAUUUAAGUCAGAUGUGAAAUUCCCGGGCUUAACCUGGGCGCUGCAUUUGAUACUGGAUAUCUAGAGUGUGGGAGAGGAAAGUGGAAUUCCUAGUGUAGCGGUGAAAUGCGUAGAGAUUAGGAAGAACACCAGUGGCGAAGGCGGCUUUCUGGACCAUAACUGACGCUGAGAUACGAAAGCGUGGGGAGCAAACAGGAUUAGAUCCCCUGGUAGUCCACGCCGUAAACGAUGAAUACUAGGUGUCGGGGGUAUUACCACCUUCGGUGCCGCAGCAAACGCAGUAAGUAUUCCGCCUGGGGAGUACGGUCGCAAGAUUAAA
This 377-nucleotide ribosomal RNA is filed under the name uncultured bacterium. RNAcentral's name for it is "bacterial SSU rRNA". It matches the Rfam family "Bacterial small subunit ribosomal RNA", at positions 523 to 898 of the family's 1533-position model. The record is from RNAcentral.